This 253-nucleotide ribosomal RNA is filed under the name uncultured bacterium. Its description in RNAcentral is "partial 16S ribosomal RNA". It matches the Rfam family "Bacterial small subunit ribosomal RNA", at positions 524 to 776 of the family's 1533-position model. The record is from RNAcentral.
UACGUAGGGUCCGAGCGUUGUCCGGAAUUAUUGGGCGUAAAGGGCUCGUAGGCGGUUUGUCGCGUCGGGAGUGAAAACACGGGGCUUAACCCCGUGCCUGCUUCCGAUACGGGCAGACUAGAGGUAUGCAGGGGAGAACGGAAUUCCUGGUGUAGCGGUGAAAUGCGCAGAUAUCAGGAGGAACACCGGUGGCGAAGGCGGUUCUCUGGGCAUUACCUGACGCUGAGGGGCGAAAGUGUGGGGAGCGAACAGG